UUACACACCGCCCGUCACACCACGAAAGCUGUCUGAACCAGAAGCCGCUGACCAACCGCAAGGGAGGGAGGCGCCAAGGUUUGAGUAGUGAUUGGGGUG
Molecule: ribosomal RNA, 99 nt
Filed under: uncultured bacterium
Lineage: Bacteria
Description: partial 16S ribosomal RNA
Source: RNAcentral